Molecule: ribosomal RNA, 479 nt
Filed under: uncultured bacterium
Lineage: Bacteria
Description: partial 16S ribosomal RNA
Rfam family: Bacterial small subunit ribosomal RNA
Source: RNAcentral
GAUGAACGCUAGCGGGAGGCCUAACACAUGCAAGCCGAGCGGUAUUGUUUCUUCGGAAAUGAGAGAGCGGCGUACGGGUGCGUAACACGUGUGCAACCUGCCUUUAUCUGGGGGAUAGCCUUCCGAAAGGAAGAUUAAUACUCCAUAAUAUAUUGAACGGCAUCGUUUAAUAUUGAAAGCUCCGGCGGAUAGAGAUGGGCACGCGCAAGAUUAGCUAGUUGGUGAGGUAACGGCUCACCAAGGCGAUGAUCUUUAGGGGGCCUGAGAGGGUGAUCCCCCACACUGGUACUGAGACACGGACCAGACUCCUACGGGAGGCAGCAGUGAGGAAUAUUGGUCAAUGGGGGCAAGCCUGAACCAGCCAUCCCGCGUGAAGGACGACUGCCCUAUGGGUUGUAAACUUCUUUUGUAUAGGGAGAAACCUACCCUCGAGAGGGUAGCUGAAGGUACUAUACGAAUAAGCACCGGCUAACUCCGUG